This 851-nucleotide long non-coding RNA is filed under the name Cicer arietinum (chickpea). RNAcentral describes it as "long non-coding RNA (CARI_LNC002744)". The record is from RNAcentral. Lineage: Eukaryota; Viridiplantae; Streptophyta; Magnoliopsida; Fabales; Fabaceae.
UAAAGUUUACGAGACAAAUCUCGUGCAUGCCCCACGAUUCACGAAUGAGCUGAUGGCACGGAAACAAAUUUAAUUUGAAAUGACCGAUUUAACCAUGAAAGUGUACACCUCAAAUACAAUCCCACGUUGUUACCACUUACCACCGUGAAGCACUUUCUCCCUCUCUGUUUUGUUGUUGUAAACAAGCAUGAUAGUCUGGGGGAGUAGUUGUAUUGGGUCCUGUUUGGUACAUCUUUGUUGCUCUAUUUUAUAUGAUAUUUCUCAAACACAAAUCUUUGUAAUUAUUGGUCAUUUAGUUACUCAGAUACUAGUAUUUUAGAAGUGCGUUUGUGGUGAUUUUUCCGAGGUGGUUGUGGCAGCAACCAAUUCUUAGGUGUUGCGAUGAUAGUUGUGACGGUGGUGACUGCUGACAAUAACGGCAGCGACUUAAAGGAGCAACAGCAACAACGAAGACAACAGUGACGAUGGAGGCAACUAUCGGUUGUUAUCAAGAACAAUUGACGACAACGGAGAAUGGUUCUUGCAGUAAUUAGAUAAAAAAACAAGAACGGUGUUGAUGUAGGCUUCUAUCAACGACCAUGAGCUGCGCAAAUAGAACUAUUAUUCAAAAGAAAUUUUGGAGAUGGAGACAAUCAGCGCAUGAUUUAUCUAUUUUCGUAGAACUGUGUUUUUUGAAACGCGUUCGUACAAUUCGUGGAGUCGGGGUAUCUUAAUUUAUAACAAUACUCUUUUAAUAUUUUAGCCACUAAAAUUAAAAUUAAGUAAAAAACAAAAAAUAUCAUCAUCAUUUAUUUUGAAUAGAUAUAUAUACAUCUACAUGUAUGUAUACAUAUAUAAAUCAUUAAAUUUCG